Molecule: ribosomal RNA, 424 nt
Filed under: uncultured prokaryote
Description: bacterial SSU rRNA
Rfam family: Bacterial small subunit ribosomal RNA
Source: RNAcentral
UGGGGAAUCUUGGACAAUGGGGGCAACCCUGAUCCAGCGACGCCGCGUGGGUGAAGAAGGCCCUAGGGUUGUAAACCGCUUUCACCGGGGAGGAUGAUGACGUUACCCGGGGGAGAAGCACCGGCUAACUCCGUGCCAGCAGCCGCGGUAACACGGAGGGUGCUAGCGUUGUUCGGAAUCACUGGGCGUAAAGGGCGCGUAGGCGGCAUCGCCAGUCAGAUGUGAAAGCCCAGGGCUCAACCCUGGAACUGCAUUUGAUACUGCCAAGCUAGAGGUCGGAAGAGGAGAGUGGAAUACCCAGUGUAGAGGUGAAAUUCGUAGAUAUUGGGUGGAACACCGGUGGCGAAAGCGGCUCUCUGGUCCGAAUCUGACGCUGAGGCGCGAAAGCGUGGGGAGCAAACAGGAUUAGAUACCCCUGUAGUCC